Molecule: long non-coding RNA, 809 nt
Filed under: Homo sapiens (human)
Lineage: Eukaryota; Metazoa; Chordata; Mammalia; Primates; Hominidae
Description: HSALNT0339098
Source: RNAcentral
GAAGUCCGCCUCCCGGGACCCGCCGCCGGUCCCAGGACAAAUACCGUGACUCUAUUUCCCAUGAGCCUACGCGCUCCCCAAAUUUAGGAGCCAUUUGAAAUGUCUCUAUCUGGUCUAGCGGUUAAGAGGCUCUAUGCUAAGAGAAUUGGCAACGCCGAACCCCAGACUCAAAUUUCUCCUUAGUUUAAGGGAACGUCUUCAUGGGGAUGUCUUGACUAUCUUUAAGGGAACGUCUAGAAAGUCUCUGCUUCCUGUAGCAUCUCGUAGACCAUGCCUGGGCCAGUCCUGCCUUACCGGAGAGCUCAAGGCUUAAAAUCAAUGUCCAUGUGCAACCGUGACAAAUGGAACAAGAGGGUGCAUCAUGCUAGCUUAUGAUCACAAUGACACAUUUAACGAAAACUUCAGUAAAUAGAGCCCAUGGAUGAAAUAAUAGAGGAUUAGCCUGGGACAGGAUACCAUCCUCGCCCCAACAAGGAGAAAAAGAAUUCCAGCUUUUCCAAAUCACUUUGAAUUAGUGAUAGCUAGAAAACUCAGAGAAUAUGUACAGAAUUGAAAGAAGAAAAAAAUUAGCCAGAACUCUACUUCCUGAAGAGGAUGAGGCAAGCAGAAGAAGAAAUUUGCGUCUUAAUGGAAAACGAAGCACAUUUAGAAAGCCAUGUUACUUGAUUCCAACCCUGUUCCUUAUCUUUGAGGUUUUCCAGGUCUUUGCAGAAGUCCCUGAUGGAAUCACAUGACUGAGCCAGGAAAACCUCAGGACUGGAGUGCCUCAUGAACUGUUGAAGCCCAGGCAAAGUCUCACUCUGCCGCCC